Pieris napi is the source of this 456-nucleotide long non-coding RNA. RefSeq lists it as uncharacterized. The record is from RefSeq and is a predicted model, not a curated record. The transcript is spliced from 2 exons. NCBI's taxonomy places the organism in Eukaryota, Metazoa, Arthropoda, Insecta, Lepidoptera, Pieridae.
GUUGUUACCCUUUUAAUUCGUCUUACAAAACCUCUAUUUUAAAUCCUCUUUGAAAUUUUAAAAUGUUCUUCCAUUUUCAAACCUAUAAUGAUAUAAAUAGCCGUCCAAAGAAGUACAUUCAGUAGUUCAUUAAAAUCUCCGGAGUCAAAUAAACCUAAAAAAGGAUAAAAAAAACCUAAUAAGUUCAAUUAUUAAAUAUAAAUAUUUCCUUUACUUCAAUUUCAGUCGUAUAAAUCUUAAUCAGUUAAAAUGUGUGGACCUUGCGGUGGUUGCGGCGGAUGCUGUGGAGGAUGCGGCCCUUGCUGCCCCUGCAUCACUAUAUACACGUGCUGUACGAAGAUUUGUUAAGCAGUAUGAACGGGUCGUCUCUACUCUGGUACCGCGGACUAAGGUGCUUCGACCCUAUGUGUUCAGUCUACUCAGUGCCGUCUUGUCUUAAUAAAAUAUCCUAACCCA